Molecule: ribosomal RNA, 485 nt
Filed under: uncultured bacterium
Lineage: Bacteria
Description: bacterial SSU rRNA
Rfam family: Bacterial small subunit ribosomal RNA
Source: RNAcentral
GACGAACGCUGGCGGCGUGCCUAACACAUGCAAGUCGAACGGGGUCGUUCUUGGUGGCAACACCUUGGACGGCCUAGUGGCGAACGGGUGAGUAACACGUGAGGAACCUGCCCCGAAGACCGGGAUAACAGAAGGAAACUUCUGCUAAUACCGGAUACCCCCACCGAAUCGCAUGGUUUGGUGAGGAAAUGGAUUCCGCUUCGGGAGGGCCUCGCGGCCUAUCAGCUAGUUGGUGGGGUAACGGCCUACCAAGGCAUCGACGGGUAGCUGGUCUGAGAGGACGAUCAGCCACACUGGGACUGAGACACGGCCCAGACUCCUACGGGAGGCAGCAGUGGGGAAUCUUGCGCAAUGGGCGAAAAGCCUGAACGCAGCAACGCCGCGUGCGGGAUGAAGGCCCUCGGGUUGUAAACCGCUUUCAGCAGGGACGAAGAUGACGGUACCUGCAGAAGAAGCCCCGGCCAACUACGUGCCAGCAGCCGCGG